CUGCUGCCUUUGGCAGCACACAUACUAAAAUUGGAACGAUACAGAGAAGAUUAGCAUGGCCCCUGUGCAAGGAUGACAUGCAAAUUCAUGAAGUGUUCCAUAUUUUU
This is a small nuclear RNA of Gorilla gorilla gorilla (western lowland gorilla), 107 nucleotides long. NCBI's taxonomy places the organism in Eukaryota, Metazoa, Chordata, Mammalia, Primates, Hominidae. The record is from Ensembl.